Molecule: non-coding RNA, 139 nt
Organism: Hordeum vulgare subsp. vulgare (domesticated barley)
Lineage: Eukaryota; Viridiplantae; Streptophyta; Magnoliopsida; Poales; Poaceae
Source: Rfam
CCGUUGGAUGAUGAUGAGAUUAUAUCUUACAUCAUAGUUGGACUGGACAUGGAGUACCAGCCGCUGGUGUCGCCGCUCAACGCUCGAACCGAACCGGUCAUGCUAGAUGACCUAUUUGCUUAGAUGAGCAAUUUUGAUC